CACCCAAACCCGUCCAAUUAUCGAACUAGAAAAAAGACGAUCCCAUCCUAAGGUUUCAAUAUAUUUGAUGUUCCACCUGAUCCCUCAUCUCGAGCAUUUUUCUCCAAACAUGUGAACCACCCUUCCAUGGCACUAUCACCGAAUUUAACUUCUUGCAAUAUUUAUUGUGCAUAAAAGCGCUCCACAAUGACAAUUUUGUCCUAAAAUUCCACCACAAUUUUGCAAACAAAGAGUUUGAAACAUCAAACAGAGACCUGAAACCAAGUCCUUCUUCAUCCAGUGGUACACAGAGUUUCGGCCAUUUCACCCACUGCCUGCCCCUAUCCCCCACCGAAUUGCUCCAAAAAAAAAAAAGAGCAAAAAUCUUGUGCAGCUUCUCAACGACAUAAAACUUCCUCCCACGUUCAUUUAUUCAAAGACACGGUUAUAACCAUAUAAAUAUAUGUAAAACAAAAAAAUAAAAACUCACAACCUCCGCUCUCUCCUUUCAAAACUCUCGGAUUAAAUUCCCAUAGCAUAAAACGUAGAAAUAUCGAUUUUCCUUUUCACAAUUUCUUUUCCAUCACUGGAAACAUUGAAUAGAGUUUGGUGGUUUCAAGGUUUUAUUUUGAAGUAUAAAGAUGGAUCUUUUGCAAGAUACCGAAGAUUACAUCGGUGAAUCGAUGGAGUACUCUCUUGGUCUCCCUGUUUCUGACACAAACAUUUCAACUAAAGUUUCGACCAUGUGAAGAAUCUGUCAUUCGCCUGCGAAAUCGGUAUCUUUCUCUACAAGCCAAAUUCAAAGACAAAGAUGAAACAAUCGAGUAUGAACGCUUCAGCCCUGAAAAAAAGAAGUUCGGAAGUAAAGGUAAGUUCCUUGACUUUAGGAGGACAGUGCAAUUGCAGCAUUGUUAGUUUUUAGCUUUUACCCGAUGCUUGAUAGGUUCUCGAUGGUAUUUAUAGGACUACUCAAUAUUGGGAUUUUGAUUUCGCUAUUGGUUCUAUCGGGUAACUUUGGUUUUCAUUGUAGUUAUCAAUUUGACAUUGGUAGAAUUACCUAGUUUAACAAAGUUUGUUGUCGGUAUGCUUUUUCAUUCUCAUGCUAUUGGUUUUUUAUAAAUACAUGUUUCAUGAUCAAUUUUGCUCAAUGCAAUUGUGGUUGUCAACAGAGGGUCAACCUGAAAGUAUAGUUCAGGAAAUUGAAGAUAUGGUUCACUCAUAUGUUGAGAAGGUAAUAUGCUGAGAGGCGGAGAAUGUAACUGAGGAGCGAGGUGGAUUCAGUAGAUUCUAGAGCAUUUCUGUUGGAGCUAAGAUUUCAUGUUACUAAAAACCUUAUAGGCAGACGUAGCACUGUUUGAAUAAAGUUUUUCCUGAAACUGUAGUAAAUGAUACCAUCAUUUUUAACUCUUAAGUGCAUAAAUUUUGUUGGUUCUGAGCGCUGAGCACUAAUGGUGUUUAUCCAUAUAUUCUUAGCAAGCUUGAGUUUUGUAUGCUUUUUUGAAUUCUUCACAUAUAGGCAUACUACACAAACACGUUUAUUGUUCUCCAGCAAAGUACUAAUUGCCCCAUCAAUGGCCUCAUGAGAAAGCUGUUUUUUUUUUUUUUUCAUUUUCAUGAUUUUCUAAUUAUCCAUUUGUUGUUGUUUAGGUAAAGAAAGAGAAUUGGUCUAUUCCCACCAAAUUGGCCACCAAUCUGUCAAUUAGCAUAGCAGAUACAACAUCAAGGAAACAACCAAAUAGUAUGCCAAUGGAGCAUGGAAGGAUGGCUUUACAACAUUUAGCCUUGGUUGACAAGAAGUAUUCUGGAAAUAUCAUUGGAUUGUUGCGCUCACAAUUCUGCGAAUGAAGAUAUUGAUCACCGGAAAAAUUCACCAAGCAAAUCAUCAUCUUCAUUAUGGAAAUAUCUUCCUUACCGUUUGAAAUAGUACUUCAUCGAAGGCUGCAUUAGAAGCUCAGGGAUAAGCUCAACAGAAAUUCAAGGAAAUUAUCCCUAUGAUCCAUAUAAUAUAGAUAUAUUGUGGAUAGUUUCAGGGGAAAACAGAAGUCUGUUAUGUUCAAGUGUCUCCAAAAUUUAAAAUUUCAGUUUAAGAUGAUUGUUUUAACUGUAACGACCCAAAUCGAUGGGCCAUGACUAGUGCCCGAGUUGGACACUCGUAUACGAACCUGUUAGCUAUAAUCAGACUAAUACAAGGACAAUGUCGAAAAUUUGCAAAAACAUGAUGUAAACUCAUAAUGCCA
Long non-coding RNA from Lycium barbarum (goji berry), 2216 nucleotides. RefSeq lists it as uncharacterized. The record is from RefSeq and is a predicted model, not a curated record. NCBI's taxonomy places the organism in Eukaryota, Viridiplantae, Streptophyta, Magnoliopsida, Solanales, Solanaceae. The transcript has 4 exons.